Molecule: transfer RNA, 77 nt
Filed under: Chlamydia trachomatis
Lineage: Bacteria; Pseudomonadati; Chlamydiota; Chlamydiia; Chlamydiales; Chlamydiaceae
Also listed under: 30 other names
Description: tRNA-Pro(cgg)
Rfam family: tRNA
About the family: Transfer RNA (tRNA) molecules are approximately 80 nucleotides in length. Their secondary structure includes four short double-helical elements and three loops (D, anti-codon, and T loops).
Source: RNAcentral
CGGGUUGUGGCUCAGCUUGGUAGAGCGCUCGGUUCGGGACCGAGAGGUCGCUGGUUCGAAUCCAGUCAACCCGACCA